UGUAGUAAUACAAGGCAGACGGCUCAGUAACGCGUAGUCAACCUACCCUAUGGACGGGGAUAACCUCGAGAAACUGAGAAUAAUACCCGAUAGAACAUUAUGCCUGGAAUGGUUUAUGUUUCAAAUAAUUUAUUGCCGUAGGAUGGGACUGCGGCCUAUCAGUUUGUUGGUGAGGUAAUGGCCCACCAAGACUAUUACAGGUACGGGCUCUGAGAGGAGUAGCCCGGAGAUGGGUACUGAGACACGGACCCAGGCCCUAUGGGGCGCAGCAGGCGAGAAAACUUUGCAAUGUGCGAAAGCACGACAAGGUUAAUCCGAGUGGUUUCUGCUAAAGGAACCUUUUGUCAGUCCUAGAAACACUGAUGAAUAAGGGGUGGGCAAGUUCUGGUGUCAGCCGCCGCGGUAAAACCAGCACCUCAAGUGGUCAGGAUGAUUAUUGGGCCUAAAGCAUCCGUAGCCUGCUUUGUUAGUUUUCGGUUAAAUCCAUACGCUCAACGUAUGGGCUGCCGGGAAUACUGCAAAGCUAGGGAGUGGGAGAGGUAGACGGUACUCGGUAGGAAGGGGUAAAAUCCUUUGAUCUAUUGAUGACCACCUGUGGCGAAGGCGGUCUACCAGAACACGUCCGACGGUGAGGGAUGAAAGCUGGGGGAGCAAACCGGAUUAGAUACCCGGGUAGUCCCAGCUGUAAACUAUGCAAACUCAGUGAUGCAUUGGCUUGAUGCCAAUGCAGUGCUGCAGGGAAGCCGUUAAGUUUGCCGCCUGGGAAGUACGUACGCAAGUAUGAAACUUAAAGGAAUUGGCGGGGGAGCACCACAAGGGGUGAAGCCUGCGG
Molecule: ribosomal RNA, 832 nt
Filed under: uncultured archaeon
Lineage: Archaea
Description: bacterial SSU rRNA
Rfam family: Archaeal small subunit ribosomal RNA
Source: RNAcentral